RNAcentral lists this long non-coding RNA (378 nucleotides) under Mytilus galloprovincialis (Mediterranean mussel). The record is from RNAcentral. Lineage: Eukaryota; Metazoa; Mollusca; Bivalvia; Mytilida; Mytilidae.
CACAAUUUGGACUUUAUUUUCAAUUUGAGAACAAACAAAUUAAAAUUGUGUUUUAUUUUAUUUUCAAAUCUAAGAACAUUCACAAUUACUGUGCCAUGAUAUGUCUGUGAUAAGUGUAAGUCUGUGAUAUUUCAUGUUUAUCAACUAUUUGUUUGUAUUUUGUUGUUUUUACUGUAUGAAUCACAAUGCUAUAACUACAUGUAACACUACUCAAUCAUGGUUGUAGUUUUUUCAUGCACUGAAAUUUUCCCCUUUUAGUAUUGGUGCUAUCAGAAUUCAUUGCUCUUAUUUAUUUGUAUUUUGUAAUAUAAUAUAGAAAACAUAAAAUUAAAAUGUGUUUUGUUUAUAAUCAAAUGCAUUCAAUAAGUCUAACAACCG